UUGACCUCAAAUCAGGUAGGACUACCCGCUGAACUUAAGCAUAUCAAUAAGCGGAGGAAAAGAAACUAACAAGGAUUCCCCUAGUAACUGCGAGUGAAGCGGGAAAAGCUCAAAUUUAAAAUCUGGCGGUCUUGCGGCCGUCCGAGUUGUAAUCUGGAGAAGCGUUUAUCCGCGUCGGACCGUGUACAAGUCUUCUGGAAGGGAGCGUCGUAGAAGGUGAGAAUCCCGUCUUUGACACGGACAACCGGUGCUUUUGUGAUGCGCUCUCGAAGAGUCGAGUUGUUUGGGAAUGCAGCUCAAAAUGGG
Molecule: ribosomal RNA, 306 nt
Filed under: uncultured Piloderma
Lineage: Eukaryota; Fungi; Basidiomycota; Agaricomycetes; Atheliales; Atheliaceae
Description: eukaryotic LSU rRNA
Rfam family: Eukaryotic large subunit ribosomal RNA
Source: RNAcentral